Molecule: long non-coding RNA, 531 nt
Organism: Salvia splendens (bonfire salvia)
Lineage: Eukaryota; Viridiplantae; Streptophyta; Magnoliopsida; Lamiales; Lamiaceae
Exons: 3
Source: RefSeq, a predicted model, not a curated record
GAAGAGUUGUGGGCGCGGAGGAUUACACGGCGUUAGUUUUUUUUUAAUUAUGAGGAUUUUUAGUGCUGAUGAUGUGACAGGAGGAGUUUAAUGCCGGGCGAAAGCCACUAGAGAUGCCCUAAUCAUUCUUGGCAAAUACGCGAUUACCCAGGCGGAUGCACCAAACUCUAUGCUUCGUUCACUUUGAUUCCUUCAUCAUCGAACUGGAAAAUGCUAUCUCACGACGUGCCUUAAACCUUGAUUGUAAAUGUUGGCAGGAUAUCUCCAAUGGGCAUGAUCUUCAUUCCAUGCUAAUAAAGGAUAUAGCCAUAAGCCUGAAGAGUUCGCAGUGCAACAGGAUAUCGCAAACGGCGUGAGAGUAUUAGCGCUAACGCUUGCCAAACUCUCCGUUUCUUGAUGCCUUGAACUUGUUACUCAAGGCUACAUGUAUGUGUACCUAAAUAAAUCGCCUAUUUUUGCUUUUGUUUAGAAAAUUAUGAAUUCUGGCAAUACCAUUAUGCUCUUAUUGCUCCUUUUUCAGCUGGUUUUAUU